UACGAAGGGUGCAAGCGUUGUUCGGAUUUAUUGGGCGUAAAGCGCGCGCAGGCGGAUUGUUAAGUCAGAUGUGAAAUCUCGGGGCUCAACCCCGAAACUGCGUCUGAAACUGAUAAUCUAGAAUCUCGGAGAGGGAAGGGGAAUUUCACAUGUAGGGGUAAAAUCCGUAGAGAUGUGAAGGAACACCAGAGGCGAAGGCGCCUUCCUGGACGAGUAUUGACGCUGAGGCGCGAAAGCGUGGGUAGCAAACAGG
Molecule: ribosomal RNA, 253 nt
Filed under: uncultured bacterium
Lineage: Bacteria
Description: partial 16S ribosomal RNA
Rfam family: Bacterial small subunit ribosomal RNA
Source: RNAcentral